UGAACCUGGCCGCAGACGGGAUAUGUGCACCGUGCCAUGGUCCAUGUGAAGGGGCUCAUCCAGUGCUGCGAUAGCUGGGGUUCCCAGCAUCAGCAGGGACCAUGGAGACCGCUUUUGGCUAAGGUGUAUGACCCAUAGGUCCAACAGAUGAUUAAGAACCAGCCACAAACGGCCAAGGCAUCAGGAGCCGCAGCUGCCCCCCUAUUCCUGGGCUGUAUCCGUGUUCCCGCGGCUCUACGGGGGGAGCAGAGUUGCAGCUGGGAAGGCUCUGUGCCAGGGUUGUCGUCACACGGUCGCUAGCUGCCGUUGAUACAAUAGCUGUUCAGAGACUUUGCCGGUACUGGUGGUAUAUUGAAACUUCAGUUCGCAAAGGUCUGAAGGGAUACGUAAGGGUUGCAGGCAGAGAAGCCACCAAAGGAGCUCUGUGCGUGCUAAACCCAGGACUGAAGGCACGAGGAACCCAAGCAGACCUGGAUGCAGCACAGUGAUGAGAAGCAGGGUUUACUAAUUCAGCCAGUGUCACACAAGC
Molecule: long non-coding RNA, 529 nt
Organism: Aquila chrysaetos chrysaetos
Lineage: Eukaryota; Metazoa; Chordata; Aves; Accipitriformes; Accipitridae
Exons: 4
Source: RefSeq, a predicted model, not a curated record